This is a long non-coding RNA of Pantherophis guttatus, 397 nucleotides long. RefSeq lists it as uncharacterized. NCBI's taxonomy places the organism in Eukaryota, Metazoa, Chordata, Lepidosauria, Squamata, Colubridae. The record is from RefSeq and is a predicted model, not a curated record.
UAUCUCAGGUAUCCUGAUCCUAAGCCAUGAAGAGCUUUAAAAGUGAUAUUCAGCAUCUUGAAUUGGAUUAUGUUUCACCACCCUUAUAGCCAUGAGAACAAUGUACAGUGCUUACAUGAAAGAUGCUUGAAAGUAAGUAUCAGCAAGCAAAAAAUACUCGACUUGAUGCUGUUAUUUGUGAAACCCAGGUUCGGUCCACCAGGAAUUCUUCGUAAAGCUUUCCUAACUCUGUGGCAAGCAAAAGCUUUUUACUCCUUUCUGAAUUUGCUAUUUAUGUGUUAUUAACAAGAAGCUGGAAAUGAAUUGUCUGGUGAAACAUUUUCUUCCUAAUGUCUCAUGACGGAGACAUAGAAGGGUAUGAAUAUCUGUGCAUUUAUAAUAAACAUAAUAUAUGUUA